Molecule: ribosomal RNA, 455 nt
Filed under: uncultured bacterium
Lineage: Bacteria
Description: bacterial SSU rRNA
Rfam family: Bacterial small subunit ribosomal RNA
Source: RNAcentral
UACGGAAGGCAGCAGUGGGGAAUAUUGCACAAUGGGCGAAAGCCUGAUGCAGCUAUGCCGCGUGUAUGAAGAAGGCCUUAGGGUUGUAAAGUACUUUCAUCGGGGAGGAAAAAACAAAACUAAUAAUUUUAUUUCUUGACGUUACCCGAAAAAGAAGCACCGGCUAACUCCGUGCCAGCAGCCGCGGUAAUACGGAGGGUGCUAGCGUUAAUCAGAAUUACUGGGCGUAAAGAGCACGUAGGUGGUUUUUUUAAGUCAGAUGUGAAAUCCCUGGGCUUAACCUGGAACUGCAUUUUGAAACUGAAAUACUAGAGUAUCGUAGAGGGAGGUAGAAUUCUAGGUGUAGCGGUGAAAUGCGUAGAUAUCUGGAGGAAUACCUGUGGCAAAGCGGCCUCCUAAACGAAUACUGACACUGAGGUGCGAAAGCGUGGGGAGCAAAUAGGGAUUAGGAUACC